AUCUGGACUAUGUUCUUCAAUAUGUGUAUCUAAAACAUAGAAGAAUAAGGUCCAUAGA
Molecule: microRNA precursor, 58 nt
Filed under: Monodelphis domestica (gray short-tailed opossum)
Lineage: Eukaryota; Metazoa; Chordata; Mammalia; Didelphimorphia; Didelphidae
Description: microRNA mdo-mir-7386q precursor
Source: miRBase by way of RNAcentral